CUGUAAUGCGAGGGAUAUUUUUUUUCCCUUGGUAACCCGACAUCUUUGAUGUGCGUUGUCAGCCUGCUCGAUUAUGGUGGCCACCUCAGUGAUGCUAGCUAGCUGGAUCGCCAGGAAUGAAAGGAAUGGAUGUUCAGAUGCGAUGAGACCAGUCGACGCCGAAACACAAUUCUGUCUCAGCGCUCACCUGCAACAAAACUUAAUUUAAAUGUGCUAAACAGCUUUCUCCGUCCUUUCAAACAAGGUUUGUUGAAAAAAACGAAAACGUUUGACAACCUUUCCUCACGUUCCGAUGCUGAGACUGUCUCGGUAGUCACCAAGGGAGAGAGUAGACAACUACUGAUCUAGGCCACGCAACCGUGCAUGCGCAAUACCGCGCCCUCCUUCGAUCUUACUCACUCAAAGUCACCUGCUGCAAGCAAAGUCCGGAGGAUAGGAGAGACGGUGAUGCUAAUUUUCAUGACUGGUCUGAAACAUUAAUGGACAUUUUGAGUUAGAAAGCUUCUAAGUUGCCCAAAGGAUUCUAAUUUGGUUUUAGAAAAAUCACUUUAAAAGAAUGUACUGGAAACAUUGUGGAAGAAUCAGAUGGCACUACAGUGACACUGGACGUUCAGGAGGGUACACAUGGGGGCGUGUUGGCCCAGAAAUUCAUUUUUUCCAUCCAAGUCUUCACUACAAAUUACUAAAAAGUAUCAUUCUAAAAGAAAACUUAAUACUUGUGAGGCCUUGGGUAUUUUUCUUUGACUAUGUAUACCCCUGUGUGUAAUAGGC
Esox lucius (northern pike) is the source of this 771-nucleotide long non-coding RNA. The record is from Ensembl. NCBI's taxonomy places the organism in Eukaryota, Metazoa, Chordata, Actinopteri, Esociformes, Esocidae.